UUGGAGGGCAAGUCUGGUGCCAGCAGCCGCGGUAAUUCCAGCUCCAAUAGCGUAUAUUAAAGUUGUUGCAGUUAAAAAGCUCGUAGUUGAAUUUCGGGAUUGACGUGAUGGUCAUGCCUUAAGGGGUAUGAACUGUUACUGUUGAUUUCUCACCUUCUGGAGAAACUUGAUGUCCUUUAUUGGGUGUCUUGCGGAUCCAGGACCUUUACCUUGAAAAAAUUAGAGUGUUUAAAGCAGGCAUUUUUGCUCGAAUACAUUAGCAUGGAAUAAUAGAAUAGGACGGCAUGGUUCUAUUUUGUUGGUUUCUAGGAUCACCGUAAUGAUUAAUAGGGAUAGUUGGGGGCAUUAGUAUUCAAUUGUCAGAGGUGAAAUUCUUGGAUUUAUUGAGGACUAACUACUGCGAAAGCAUUUACCAAGGAUGUUUUCAUUAAUCAAGAACGAAAGUUAGGGGAUCGAAGACGAUCAGAUACCGUCGUAGUCUUAACCAUAAACUAUGCCGACUAGGAGUCAGACGAUGUUAAUUUUUUAAUGACUCGUUUGGCACCUUACGGGAAACCAAAGUGUUUGGGUUC
RNAcentral lists this ribosomal RNA (572 nucleotides) under uncultured Glomeromycotina. RNAcentral describes it as "SSU rRNA". It matches the Rfam family "Eukaryotic small subunit ribosomal RNA", at positions 548 to 1114 of the family's 1831-position model. The record is from RNAcentral. Lineage: Eukaryota; Fungi; Glomeromycota.